AGUGAACGCUGGCGGCGUGCCUAAUACAUGCAAGUCGAACGAUGAAGCUUCUAGCUUGCUAGAAGUGGAUUAGUGGCGCACGGGUGAGUAAGGUAUAGUUAAUCUGCCCUACACAAGAGGACAACAGUUGGAAACGACUGCUAAUACUCUAUACUCCUGCUUAACACAAGUUGAGUAGGGAAAGUUUUUCGGUGUAGGAUGAGACUAUAUAGUAUCAGCUAGUUGGUAAGGUAAUGGCUUACCAAGGCUAUGACGCUUAACUGGUCUGAGAGGAUGAUCAGUCACACUGGAACUGAGACACGGUCCAGACUCCUACGGGAGGCAGCAGUAGGGAAUAUUGCGCAAUGGGGGAAACCCUGACGCAGCAACGCCGCGUGGAGGAUGACACUUUUCGGAGCGUAAACUCCUUUUCUUAGGGAAGAAUUCUGACGGUACCUAAGGAAUAAGCACCGGCUAACUCCGUGCCAGCCGCCGCCGUAACAC
RNAcentral lists this ribosomal RNA (483 nucleotides) under uncultured bacterium. RNAcentral describes it as "bacterial SSU rRNA". It matches the Rfam family "Bacterial small subunit ribosomal RNA", at positions 29 to 526 of the family's 1533-position model. The record is from RNAcentral.